GUGUCAGCAGCCGCGGUAAUACGUAGGGUGCAAGCGUUAAUCGGAAUUACUGGGCGUAAAGCGUGCGCAGGCGGUUAUGUAAGACAGAUGUGAAAUCCCCGGGCUCAACCUGGGACCUGCAUUUGUGACUGCAUAGCUAGAGUGCGGCAGAGGGGGAUGGAAUUCCGCGUGUAGCAGUGAAAUGCGUAGAUAUGCGGAGGAACACCGAUGGCGAAGGCAAUCCCCUGGGCCUGCACUGACGCUCAUGCACGAAAGCGUGGGGAGCAAACAGGAUUAGAUACCCGGGUAGUCC
Molecule: ribosomal RNA, 292 nt
Filed under: uncultured Comamonadaceae bacterium
Lineage: Bacteria; Pseudomonadati; Pseudomonadota; Betaproteobacteria; Burkholderiales; Comamonadaceae
Description: partial 16S ribosomal RNA
Rfam family: Bacterial small subunit ribosomal RNA
Source: RNAcentral